AUACCUUAAAAAUUUUUAGCUAUAUAUAAAAAGAAUAUAAGUGAUAUUCAGGAGAAAGGAAUAAUUUGAGUCAUUUCUUCAAAAGAACAUAAAGGUGAUUGAAAUGUGAAUCAUGAGAACUGACCAGCAGAUGAUUUUCAGAGGAAAAAGACUAAAAAGCAUAAAUGUUCUUUUCACAUGUGUGGAAAGGAAACUAGGCUAACAGUUGGUGGGGGAAGGGGCAACUGGGAGUGGCAGUUGGGUCUUGUGACUAGCACUAAAGUCAUUAUGAUGAUCUAAGAGAAUUUGUUUUUAUUGUUUUCAGAAAAUUUCCUAUCAUCUCAGAGCAAUUGAUGGGGCAAAGAGAAUAUUUGUGCUAACAAUUCUAUGAAGGAAAAUAAAAUGGAAAAUGAAGAGAAUAGAAAGAGAAGAAAAGGAAGGAGAAAAUUAAUAUUUCAAGAACAAAAAAUAUCUCCCUUCAUUUAUCAAUAAUAUUAUUUUUGGAAGAAAAAUAUAGAGGGAUUUCUUUCAGGAGACUUGCUGGGAACUACAAAUACAAAGCGUUGGCAUCACCCACUACCUGGACCACUUUAUUGAGAUCUGACAUGAUGAAGAAACUGAUGCCUACAAGAAGGGGUAGUGACCUGCCCAAGGUCAUACAGUGGCUGAGAUUUGAAACCAGGGCCUCUAAGUCCAAACUGCUCUCUCUACUAUACCUCUCUGCCUCCAGUUUAUCACUUCUCACUGGCUGAAGAAGUUUAUAUUGACUUUACCAUAUUGUUCUACUGGGUUUGUAGAGUUGCAAGUCUGAAAAGUAAUAUUAAAAAAAUCAAGAUAAC
This 818-nucleotide long non-coding RNA is filed under the name Monodelphis domestica (gray short-tailed opossum). RNAcentral's name for it is "lncRNA (ENSMODG00000030473.2)". The record is from RNAcentral. Lineage: Eukaryota; Metazoa; Chordata; Mammalia; Didelphimorphia; Didelphidae.